RNAcentral lists this ribosomal RNA (621 nucleotides) under uncultured organism. RNAcentral describes it as "bacterial SSU rRNA". It matches the Rfam family "Bacterial small subunit ribosomal RNA", at positions 880 to 1510 of the family's 1533-position model. The record is from RNAcentral.
GUACGAUCGCAAGGUUGAAACUCAAAGGAAUUGACGGGGGCCCGCACAAGCGGUGGAACAUGUGGUUUAAUUCGAUGAUACGCGAGGAACCUUACCUGGGCUUAAAUGUAGCGCGACGUCUCGAGAAAUCGGGAUUCCCUUUCGGGGCGAACUACAAGGUGCUGCAUGGUUGUCGUCAGCUCGUGCCGUGAGGUAUCGGGUUAAGUCCCAUAACGAGCGCAACCCUUAUUGUUAGUUGCCAGCGGAUAAUGCCGGGGACUCUAACAAAACUGCCCGUGUAAACGGGAGGAAGGUGGGGAUGACGUCAAAUCAGCACGGCCCUUAUGUCCAGGGCUACACACGUGUUACAAUGGCUGGAACAAAGGGCAGCUACCACGCAAGUGGAUGCUAAUCUCUAAAUCCAGUCCCAGUUCGGAUCGAAGUCUGCAAUUCGACUUCGUGAAGAUGGAAUCGCUAGUAAUCGCGCAUCAGCAAUGGCGCGGUGAAUAUGUUCCCGGGCCUUGUACACACUGCCCGUCAAGCCAUGGAAGUUAGUAGUACCUGAAGUCCGUAACCGAAAGGAGCGGCCUAGGGUAAGACUAAUGACUGGGGCUAAGUCGUAACAAGGUAACCAAGGGCGAA